Molecule: ribosomal RNA, 492 nt
Filed under: uncultured bacterium
Lineage: Bacteria
Description: partial 16S ribosomal RNA
Rfam family: Bacterial small subunit ribosomal RNA
Source: RNAcentral
AGUGAACGCUGGCGGUAGGCCUAACACAUGCAAGUCGAACGGCAGCACAGUAAGAGCUUGCUCUUACGGGUGGCGAGUGGCGGACGGGUGAGGAAUACAUCGGAAUCUACUUUUUCGUGGGGGAUAACGUAGGGAAACUUACGCUAAUACCGCAUACGACCUACGGGUGAAAGCAGGGGAUCUUCGGACCUUGCGCGAUUGAAUGAGCCGAUGUCGGAUUAGCUAGUUGGCGGGGUAAAGGCCCACCAAGGCGACGAUCCGUAGCUGGUCUGAGAGGAUGAUCAGCCACACUGGAACUGAGACACGGUCCAGACUCCUAUGGGAGGCAGCAGUGGGGAAUAUUGGACAAUGGGCGCAAGCCUGAUCUAGCCAUACCGCGUGGGUGAAGAAGGCCUUCGGGUUGUAAAGCCCUUUUGUUGGGAAAGAAAAGCAGCAGGUUAAUACCCCGCUGUUCUGACGGUACCCAAAGAAUAAGCACCGGCUAACUUCGUG